Molecule: long non-coding RNA, 440 nt
Organism: Lineus longissimus
Lineage: Eukaryota; Metazoa; Nemertea; Pilidiophora; Heteronemertea; Lineidae
Exons: 5
Source: RefSeq, a predicted model, not a curated record
UUCUUAAGAGUCGGACCUCAAUUCAUUUGUCGUAAUAUAUCGCUUACCAUCGGGACGAAAUGGAUUCUACCAGUAACAAUAAUGAUACAGGCUGCACCAGCAAGUAGGCCUGAAGCAACUUCUCAACCUGUGAACAAUGGGAAGUCAGUCAAAGCUAAGAAAAGAAAAGCCCAGCAAGGGAAAAGCAAGCAAGGCGAAGGGAGACUUAUUGCGCAGCUGAGAGAAUAGACAACUACGACCCCAAAAACAACACGUAUUACAUAAAGUGGCAAGGAUAUGAUGCGUCCCACAACUCAUGGGUGAAAGCGGAAGACGUAACUUCUCCUCUCAUCUCUUCUUACAAAGAAAAAUUAGGUUCAGGAACGCACAAGAAGUGAUGCACCUCAUGUCUUAGCCCUUUCGAUUGUUUGAAAAAAUUUAUGUGAAUUUGUGCAAAUCCU